UUUUGCCUUUCUACUCAAAUAUUUCUCUGAAAUUCUUCAAUUUCACUUGAGUUUCAACUUUUAAAAUCUGUGUUUUGAUUCUUUUUUGUUCAUAGGAAGAUACCCUUUUGGCUUUCUUGGUUGUGGGAUUGUUGGUUGAGCUGAACAUUUGAGGAAGCCUUGAAGAGAGAAAUGUCGGGAGGAGGUACUCAGAACAGCUUAAGAAAAACCCUUGGAUCACUCAAGGAUACUACCACUGUCAGUUUAGCUAAAAUUAAUAGUAGCUAUAAGGAAUUGGAUAUUGCUAUAGUUAAGGCAACAAAUCAUGUUGAACAUCCAGCAAAGGAGAAGUACAUAAGAGCCAUUUUUUCUGCCAUCUCGGCUACCAGACCUCGAGCUGAUGUUGCAUACUGCAUUCAUGCUCUUGCGAGAAGGUUGUCAAAGACACAUAAUUGGGCGGUUGCUCUAAAAACAUUGAUAGUCAUUCACCGUGCUUUAAGAGAG
Molecule: unclassified non-coding RNA, 483 nt
Filed under: Hevea brasiliensis (rubber tree)
Lineage: Eukaryota; Viridiplantae; Streptophyta; Magnoliopsida; Malpighiales; Euphorbiaceae
Source: RNAcentral